This 468-nucleotide ribosomal RNA is filed under the name uncultured bacterium. RNAcentral describes it as "partial 16S ribosomal RNA". It matches the Rfam family "Bacterial small subunit ribosomal RNA", at positions 28 to 507 of the family's 1533-position model. The record is from RNAcentral.
GAUGAACGCUGGCGGCGUGCUUAACACAUGCAAGUCGAACGGAAAGGCCCUGCGUUUGUGGCGUGCUCGAGUGCCGAACGCGUGUGUAUCACGUGAGUAUCCCGCCCUUGACUGUGGGAUAACUUCAGGAAACUGGGGCUAAUACCGCAUAGGAGCUCUUGCUGCAUGGUGUUGGUUGGAAAGUUUCGGUGGUGGGGGAUGGACUCGCGGCUUAUCCGCUUGAUGGUGGGGUAGUUGCUUACAAAGGCUAUGACGGGUAGCCGGCCUGAGAGCGUGACCGGGCACAUGGGGACUGAGGUAGGGCGCAGACUCCUACGGGAGGCAACAGUGGGGAAUAUUACACAGUGGGCGGAAGUCUGAUGCGGCAGCGCCGCGUGCGUGAUGCCGUCCUUCGGGUUGAAAACCGCUUUGGCCUGUGACGAAGCGUGAGUGACGGUAAUGGGUAAAGAAGCACCGGCUAACUACGUG